This 497-nucleotide ribosomal RNA is filed under the name uncultured bacterium. RNAcentral describes it as "partial 16S ribosomal RNA". It matches the Rfam family "Bacterial small subunit ribosomal RNA", at positions 35 to 507 of the family's 1533-position model. The record is from RNAcentral.
GGGGGGGGCUGGGGGCGGGCGUGGGGGGGGCGGGGCGAGCGGCGAGGCGGGGAGGGGGGUGCGGGGACGUUAGCGGCGUGGGGGGGGGGGACACGGGUACAAGCUGCCUAGAGGACGGGGAGCAUUUCGGAAAGCCGGCGCUACUACCGGAUGAUCUAGUUAACAGCGUUGGUCGCUAGCUAAUCAAGUUUUUGGUGGUACGUCUAGCUGUAUCCGCUCCGCAUUCGCUAGUUGGUAAGGUAACGGCGUACCACGGCAACCAAGGGUAGACGACCUGAGGGGGUGAUAGCCCACACUGGAUCUGAGCCACGGUCCAGACUCCUACGGGAGGCAGCAGUAGGGAAUCUUCCGCAAUGGGCGAAAGCCUGACGGAGCAACGCCGCGUGAGUGAUGAAGGUCUUCGGAUCGUAAAACUCUGUUAUUAGGGAAGAACAAAUGUGUAAGUAACUAUGCACGUCUUGACGGUACCUAAUCAGAAAGCCACGGCUAACUACGUG